This 450-nucleotide ribosomal RNA is filed under the name Triticum aestivum (bread wheat). RNAcentral's name for it is "partial small subunit ribosomal RNA". Lineage: Eukaryota; Viridiplantae; Streptophyta; Magnoliopsida; Poales; Poaceae. The record is from RNAcentral.
AUGUACCGUCUCCCCUUUGCCGACGUGUGCAAACGGCGUUGCCGUGGCACUCGAAAAAGAAAACAGGCAAAAAUUAACCACCCUCCUCCAGUGGAUGCGGUUCUCGAAGACGCCAUUCAUUCAGCUGCUUUGCGCUGCACGGCGGGGAGGCCACGGCGGCGGCGGGGGAUGGAUUUGAGUUCCUCUCAGAUCAGGUUCCUGCUGCCGGCAAUUGGCGGCGACAAGUACACGCAAGCGGCGCAUACGGUGCUAGAUCUGCUGGAUGGAGCAGCCGAGUCCAGCACUAGGGAGGUGGGGAAGCGCCGCCUGUUCUCAGAGCAGUCAACGGGGCUCGACGACCUGCAGGCCCUGGCUGGACAAAAGGCUGCACUAGUGAUGCGGGCGAACACCCCACUGGAAAUGCACGCUAGCAAUACCUACACCAGGCUAUGUUCGAGAAAUUUGGUGUAG